CAAAUGGUCAUUUCUGAGCUUU
Molecule: microRNA, 22 nt
Filed under: Monodelphis domestica (gray short-tailed opossum)
Lineage: Eukaryota; Metazoa; Chordata; Mammalia; Didelphimorphia; Didelphidae
Description: mdo-miR-7307-3p
Source: miRBase by way of RNAcentral